AACGCGAAGAACCUUACCAGCUCUUGACAUGUCUCGUAUGGAACCGGAGACGGUUUCCUUCAGUUCGGCUGGCGAGAACACAGGUGCUGCAUGGCUGUCGUCAGCUCGUGUCGUGAGAUGUUGGGUUAAGUCCCGCAACGAGCGCAACCCUCGCCCUUAGUUGCCAUCAUUCAGUUGGGCACUCUAGGGGGACUGCCGGUGAUAAGCCGAGAGGAAGGUGGGGAUGACGUCAAGUCCUCAUGGCCCUUACGGGCUGGGCUACACACGUGCUACAAUGGCGGUGACAAUGGGAGGCUGAGGGGCGACCCCGAGCAAAUCUCAAAAAGCCGUCUCAGUUCGGAUUGCACUCUGCAACUCGAGUGCAUGAAGGUGGAAUCGCUAGUAAUCGUAGAUCAGAACGCUACGGUGAAUACGUUCCCGGGCCUUGUA
This 429-nucleotide ribosomal RNA is filed under the name uncultured Alphaproteobacteria bacterium. RNAcentral describes it as "bacterial SSU rRNA". It matches the Rfam family "Bacterial small subunit ribosomal RNA", at positions 958 to 1385 of the family's 1533-position model. Lineage: Bacteria; Pseudomonadati; Pseudomonadota; Alphaproteobacteria. The record is from RNAcentral.